Molecule: ribosomal RNA, 492 nt
Filed under: uncultured bacterium
Lineage: Bacteria
Description: partial 16S ribosomal RNA
Rfam family: Bacterial small subunit ribosomal RNA
Source: RNAcentral
GAUGAACGCUAGCUACAGGCUUAACACAUGCAAGUCGAGGGGAAACGACAUCGAAAGCUUGCUUUUGAUGGGCGUCGACCGGCGCACGGGUGAGUAACGCGUAUCCAACCUGCCCAUCACUUGGGGAUAACCUUGCGAAAGUAAGACUAAUACCCAAUGAUAUCUCUAGAAGACAUCUGAAAGAGAUUAAAGAUUUAUCGGUGAUGGAUGGGGAUGCGUCUGAUUAGCUUGUUGGCGGGGUAACGGCCCACCAAGGCAACGAUCAGUAGGGGUUCUGAGAGGAAGGUCCCCCACAUUGGAACUGAGACACGGUCCAAACUCCUAUGGGAGGCAGCAGUGAGGAAUAUUGGUCAAUGGGCGAGAGCCUGAACCAGCCAAGUAGCGUGCAGGAAGACGGCCCUAUGGGUUGUAAACUGCUUUUAUAAGGGAAUAAAGUGAGAGUCGUGACUCUUUUCGUAUGUACCUUAUGAAUAAGGACCGGCUAAUUCCGUG